Molecule: ribosomal RNA, 253 nt
Filed under: uncultured bacterium
Lineage: Bacteria
Description: partial 16S ribosomal RNA
Rfam family: Bacterial small subunit ribosomal RNA
Source: RNAcentral
UACGUAGGGUGCGAGCGUUGUCCGGAAUUAUUGGGCGUAAAGAGCUCGUAGGCGGCUUGUCGCGUCGGAUGUGAAAGCCCGGGGCUUAACUCCGGGUCUGCAGUCGAUACGGGCAGGCUAGAGUUCGGUAGGGGAGACUGGAAUUCCUGGUGUAGCGGUGAAAUGCGCAGAUAUCAGGAGGAACACCGGUGGCGAAGGCGGGUCUCUGGGCCGAUACUGACGCUGAGGAGCGAAAGCGUGGGGAGCGAACAGG